GGUUCGUUGGCCAAGCGGUUAAGACGCCGCCCUCUCACGGCGGAAACACGGGUUCGAUUCCCGUACGGACUG
Molecule: transfer RNA, 72 nt
Filed under: Caudoviricetes sp.
Lineage: Duplodnaviria; Heunggongvirae; Uroviricota; Caudoviricetes
Description: tRNA-Glu
Rfam family: tRNA
About the family: Transfer RNA (tRNA) molecules are approximately 80 nucleotides in length. Their secondary structure includes four short double-helical elements and three loops (D, anti-codon, and T loops).
Source: RNAcentral